AACGAACGCUGGCGGCAUGCCUAACACAUGCAAGUCGAACGAGACCUUCGGGUCUAGUGGCGCACGGGUGCGUAACGCGUGGGAACCGCCCUUAGGUUCGGAAUAACUCCCCGAAAGGGGUGCUAAUACCGGAUAAUGUCUUCGGUCCAAAGAUUUAUCGCCUUUGGAUGGGCCCGCGUUGGAUUAGCUAGUUGGUAGGGUAAAAGCCUACCAAGGCGACGAUCCAUAGCUGGUCUGAGAGGAUGAUCAGCCACACUGGGACUGAGACACGGCCCAGACUCCUACGGGAGGCAGCAGUGGGGAAUAUUGGACAAUGGGCGAAAGCCUGAUCCAGCAAUGCCGCGUGAGUGAUGAAGGCCUUAGGGUUGUAAAGCUCUUUUACCCGGGAUGAUAAUGACAGUACCGGGAGAAUAAGCUCCGGCUAACUCCGUG
RNAcentral lists this ribosomal RNA (432 nucleotides) under uncultured bacterium. Its description in RNAcentral is "partial 16S ribosomal RNA". It matches the Rfam family "Bacterial small subunit ribosomal RNA", at positions 29 to 507 of the family's 1533-position model. The record is from RNAcentral.